AGGCCCCUCCUUCCAGCCGAAGCUCCCGCUCACCCCUGCCACGUCAAAGGAGGCAGAAGGGGAGUCGGGAGCAGAGAGGGGACCA
This 85-nucleotide microRNA precursor is filed under the name Mustela putorius furo (domestic ferret). Its description in RNAcentral is "mir-3154 microRNA precursor family". It matches the Rfam family "mir-3154 microRNA precursor family". RNAcentral also lists the same sequence under 1 other name. The record is from Rfam by way of RNAcentral. Lineage: Eukaryota; Metazoa; Chordata; Mammalia; Carnivora; Mustelidae.